CCGAGAGAGGAGUAGAUUUUCGCUUCUCUCCGUCGUUCGUCGUCGCUUGAUAACCGCUCGCAUUUCUCACAGAAGUGAAAAAUGGGAUUGUCUUUCGCAAAGCUAUUCAGCUGGCUUUUUUGCCAAGAAGGAGAUGCGUAUUCUGAUGGUUGGUCUUGAUGCUGCUGGUAAAACCACCAUUCUUUACAAGCUUAAAUUGGGAGAGAUUGUCACAACCAUUCCUACCAUUGGAUUCAAUGUUGAGACCGUGGAAUACAAGAACAUCAGCUUCACCGUUUAGGAUGUUGGUGGAAAGGA
Hibiscus syriacus is the source of this 297-nucleotide long non-coding RNA. RefSeq lists it as uncharacterized. The transcript is spliced from 3 exons. Lineage: Eukaryota; Viridiplantae; Streptophyta; Magnoliopsida; Malvales; Malvaceae. The record is from RefSeq and is a predicted model, not a curated record.